CCUCAAAGAUCUCGUCUCGUGAGACCUCUAUGCGACAGUGUCCAGCCUGUGGUUGCUGCAGCGACAGCUCGUGUCUGAGCAGCUUCAGUUUGUGGACCAGGUCUCUCUCGUAGCGCAGAGUCACUUCCUCUUCUCCUCCUCCUCCUCCUCCUCCUUCCUCCUCCUCCCCCACCUCCAUCUCUCUCCCUCCUCCCCCACCCAGCGGCUGAGACGCUUCCUUCACCUGGGAAUGUUGGCUGGAGACACACAGAAAGGUCUGAUGUGUUUUAUUUUACAUAUCUUUCAUACUGAAUGUUAUCAGAUAUUCAACCAAAACCUGAUAUUAGAUAAAGGGGGAAACCUGAGUAAUAUAAUUAUUUUAUUUAUUUAAUUAACUUUCUGCAAUUUUAUUUAUUUAAUUAAGUUAUGUAACACCAAAUUCCCAUUUUUAAAAAAGUAUUUCCCCGUUACACUCAAUAACUGGAUGAGUUAAAAUAAUGUUCUAUGGACAGGUGAGAUAAAGGUAUGUUCUAUGGACAGGUGAGAUAAAAGAAUGUUCUAUGGACAGGUGAGUUAAAGGUAUGUACUAUAGACAGGUGAGUUAAAAUAAUGUUCUAUAGACAGGUGAGUUAAAGGUAUGUUCUAUAGACAGGUGAGAUAAAGGUAUGUUCUAUAGACAGGUGAGUUAAAGGUAUGUUCUAUAGACAGGUGAGUUAAAGGUAUGUUCUAUAGACAGGUGAGAUAAAGGUAUGUUCUAUAGACAGGUGAGAUAAAGGUAUGUUCUAUAGACAGGUGAGAUAAAGGUAUGUUCUAUGGACAGGUGAGAUAAAAUAAUGUUCUAUAGACAGGUGAGUUAAAGGUAUGUACUAUAGACAGGUGAGUUAAAGGUAUGUUCUAUAGACAGGUGAGAUAAAGGUAUGUUCUAUAGACAGGUGAGAUAAAGGAAUGUUCUAUGGACAGGUGAGUUAAAGGUAUGUACUAUGGACAGGUGAGUUAAAGGUAUGUACUAUAGACAGGUGAGUUAAAGGUAUGUUCUAUAGACAGGUGAGAUAAAGGUAUGUUCUAUAGACAGGUGAGAUAAAGGUAUGUUCUAUAGACAGGUGAGAUAAAGGAAUGUUCUAUAGACAGGUGAGUUAAAAUAAUGUUCUAUAGACAGGUGAGAUAAAGGUAUGUACUAUAGACAGGUGAGAUAAAGGAAUGUUCUAUGGACAGGUGAGAUAAAACAAUGUUCUAUGGACAGGUGAGAUAAAGGAAUGUUCUAUGGACAGGUGAGUUAAAGGUAUGUACUAUGGACAGGUGAGUUAAAGGUAUGUUCUAUAGACAGGUGAGUUAAAGGUAUGUACUAUAGACAGGUGAGAUAAAGGUAUGUUCUAUAGACAGGUGAGAUAAAGGAAUGUUCUAUAGACAGGUGAGUUAAAAUAAUGUUCUAUAGACAGGUGAGUUAAAAUAAUGUUCUAUGGACAGGUGAGAUAAAGGAAUGUUCUAUGGACAGGUUAGAUAAAACAAUGUUCUAUGGACAGGUGAGAUAAAGGAAUGUUCUAUGGACAGGUAAGAUAAAACAAUGUUCUAUGGACAGGUAGGAUAAAGGUAUGUUCUAUGGACAGGUGAGUUAAAAUAAUGUUCUAUGGACAGGGGGGAUAAAGGAAUGUUCUAUAGACAGGUGAGAUAAAAGAAUGUUCUAUGGACAGGUGAGUUAAAAGAAUGUUCUAUGGACAGGUGAGUUAAAAGAAUGUUCUACGGACAGGUGAGUUUAAAGAAUGUUCUACGGACAGGAGAGUUAAAGGUAUGUUCUAUAGACAGGUGAGAUAAAGGUAUGUUCUAUAGACAGGUGAGAUAAAGGUAUGUACUAUGGACAGGUGAGUUAAAGGAAUGUUCUAUGGACAGGUGAGUUAAAGGUAUGUUCUAUAGACAGGUGAGAUAAAGGUAUGUUCUAUAGACAGGUGAGAUAAAGGUAUGUUCUAUAGACAGGUGAGAUAAAGGAAUGUUCUAUAGACAGGUGAGAUAAAGGUAAAACCCUUUGGACAACAUGAAUCCCAAAAAGCAACACAUUUGAAGUUCUGGAACGGCCGAAUCCAAGUCCAAACCAAAUCCCAACGAGAUGUUUGUGGGAGGAUCUGGGCCAAAAUUCCUCCACAUCGAGGCGAGAUGACAACUACAGGAAGUGUUUGGUUGGAGUCAUGGCAACUAAAGGGAACCAGUUAUUGAGCGGAAGGUGGAAAUCACUUUUCACACGAGGGGCAUAACUACGUUUAUGAAAUAACUGAAAUAAGUGCAAUAAGUGCAAUAAGUGCAAUAAGUGCAAUAAGUGUAAUAAGUGCAAUAAGUGCAAUAAGUGUAAUAAGUGUGCACCUGAUGAUGGUGUGAAGCCGAGGGUCAGUGAACUGCGUUGUUCGGUUGUUGUGAUCCACAAAGUAGAUCCUUCCAGAUACCGUACUCCUCACCUCCCAUCCGGCCGGCAGAGGACCCAACUCCUCACAGCUCACACU
This 2465-nucleotide long non-coding RNA is filed under the name Salmo salar (Atlantic salmon). Its description in RNAcentral is "lncRNA (ENSSSAG00000115114.1)". The record is from RNAcentral. Lineage: Eukaryota; Metazoa; Chordata; Actinopteri; Salmoniformes; Salmonidae.